RNAcentral lists this ribosomal RNA (637 nucleotides) under uncultured bacterium. RNAcentral describes it as "bacterial SSU rRNA". It matches the Rfam family "Bacterial small subunit ribosomal RNA", at positions 202 to 842 of the family's 1533-position model. The record is from RNAcentral.
UAAAGAUUCAUCGCUGAUAGAUAGGCAUGCGUUCCAUUAGGCAGUUGGCGGGGUAACGGCCCACCAAACCGACGAUGGAUAGGGGUUCUGAGAGGAAGGUCCCCCACAUUGGUACUGAGACACGGACCAAACUCCUACGGGAGGCAGCAGUGAGGAAUAUUGGUCAAUGGGCGUAAGCCUGAACCAGCCAAGUCGCGUGAGGGGUGAAGGUUCUAUGGAUCGUAAACCUCUUUUAUAAGGGAAUAAAGUGUGGGACGUGUCCUAUUUUGUAUGUACCUUAUGAAUAAGGAUCGGCUAACUCCGUGCCAGCAGCCGCGGUAAUACGGAGGAUCCGAGCGUUAUCCGGAUUUAUUGGGUUUAAAGGGUGCGUAGGCGGCCUUUUAAGUCAGCGGUGAAAGUCUGUGGCUCAACCAUAGAAUUGCCGUUGAAACUGGGGGGCUUGAGUAUGUUUGAGGCAGGCGGAAUGCGUGGUGUAGCGGUGAAAUGCUUAGAUAUCACGCAGAACCCCGAUUGCGAAGGCAGCCUGCCAAGCCAUGACUGACGCUGAUGCACGAAAGCGUGGGGAUCAAACAGGAUUAGAUACCCUGGUAGUCCACGCAGUAAACGAUGAUCACUAGCUGUUUGCGAUACAGUGUAA